AAUCUUCAUUCCCACAGCUGGUCAUGAGGCUAUAGUUAACAUGCAUUUCUUGGUCUUGGUGUUGGUAAAGGAGAGAAAGGAAUGCUGAAGUUGCCCCCCUAGCCUCAUAGUCUGGUGAAUAGCAUGUGGGCUAGUUUCAUACCGGG
This 146-nucleotide small nucleolar RNA is filed under the name Octodon degus (degu). Its description in RNAcentral is "Small nucleolar RNA SNORA61 (ENSODEG00000023282.1)". Lineage: Eukaryota; Metazoa; Chordata; Mammalia; Rodentia; Octodontidae. The record is from RNAcentral.